GCGUCGGUGGUGCAACGGUUUAGCACAUGCACUCCUGGAACGAGUAAGGUCUGGGUUCGAAUACCGGCUGACGCA
This is a non-coding RNA of Parelaphostrongylus tenuis, 75 nucleotides long. Lineage: Eukaryota; Metazoa; Nematoda; Chromadorea; Rhabditida; Metastrongylidae. The record is from the annotation of a GenBank genome assembly.